AAAAUCCGUCGACUUUAAAAAUCGUGAGGGUUCAAGUCCCUCUAUCCCCC
RNAcentral lists this transfer RNA (50 nucleotides) under Barthlottia madagascariensis. RNAcentral's name for it is "partial transfer RNA-Leu". RNAcentral also lists the same sequence under 12 other names. The record is from RNAcentral. Lineage: Eukaryota; Viridiplantae; Streptophyta; Magnoliopsida; Lamiales; Scrophulariaceae.